GAGUCCCGAACUCGAAGUUUGGUCUGGAUUCUGGAGACUACGGCCUAUUCGAACGCGUCAUUCUCCAGUCUCUCCUCCUCCUUCUCUCGCCUUCUGCUGCUCUGCCCUUCCCCACUUCUCUCAGAGAUCAAGUCGUAUCUACUUCUCUUACUCUCCCUCUUCAGUUUGGGGCAUUGAAUUCAAUUGGAUUGAAGAAUGAAGGUUGCGGUCAAAUUCUAUUGCUCUGGUUGCGGUCAAAAGAGGGAUAGCUGCUGCUGUGCUAUCCACAACCAUGUUACAGAUUGGAAGGCCUUUCUGCAUAGAUGGACUCAUUAGAGCAUGCAAAGUAGUGUGUUGGUGUAUUCAAGUGAUGUUGGUGCACCAAUAGGUUCUACUUCCUCAUGUAUGGGGUUAUUCAAUAUAAUUUGGUUACUUUUUUUUUCUUUCUUCUUAAUAUUACAUAUGACUGCAAACUGGAGGCCCUGCUGGUUAACGUUUUUUUUUUUUUUGGUUAAGAAGUUCUAGCCCACCCGAACUUUCAUUCCUGGAUCCGCCAUUGACCACAAAGGAGCAAGUGUUGGCUUGUUUGUUCUCGACUGAAACUAGAUACAGAGCAACUACUCCUACUCACAAAUUUGACAAUAGCUUUCUCCAAAUCUAAGCUCAUUCCAAGGUGGACAACCGACACAAUGUGAUUCAUAAGGAGUGAAUCACAUGGUAAUACGAUAGGCUCAUUGCUUGAUACUCCGAACUCUUCUUCAGACAUUUUGAAAAGCUCUUGGAAAAUGUAGCUACCAAGAUAAGAUAAGGGAAGCACAAAACGCGCCUUGUCAAGGGUGUAAAUAACAAAAUUGCCUUUCGCUGCAGUAGUAUCACAUGACUUUCUACCAACUCCUCUCGGAUGCGGAUGAAGUGGCCUCGAGAAAUUGAGCAAGAAAGCAGUGGCAGCUUUGCAGGCAGUUGAAGUUUCUGUGUCAGAAUACUGAAUAUUGCUAUUGCUGUGAUAAUGAGAGAUGGAAAAACCAAUAGGGGUGGGUUAACUAUAUAUAUAAAGUUCUCUUAGGACCUUCAGACGAUUUAUAAAUGUAUUGCGGGCUUCUUGUUGUAGUGAUUUUCUAUGAUAAUCAUUUUUGUUAUUAGUACUAGUUAGUACUUGUUGGAGAAAACUCCAAUGUUUAGAACCAAAACAUCUUGGUCCUUGGAUGCCUGAAGGAAUCAAUAUAACAGAAUUUUUGUUUUUGCUUUAAAAGAUAGUUUUCAAGUUGUUAUAAGAGCCAUUAUGA
This 1262-nucleotide long non-coding RNA is filed under the name Rosa chinensis. RNAcentral describes it as "sRNA RchiOBHm_Chr2g0129561". The record is from RNAcentral. Lineage: Eukaryota; Viridiplantae; Streptophyta; Magnoliopsida; Rosales; Rosaceae.